AUUUAUGCCAAGUCCUGAAGUUCCUCCAAAGCAUUUUUUUUUUUCUAAAUAGAGUUUGGAAAUCUCUUCAUUAAUGUUCCCAGUUGCUAAGCAACACCCCCUCUUUGCUUGUUGCCAUGGUUGCCCUUGAAUUAGGGAGGACACAAAGCCAUCUGUUUAAACCAAGACCCCUCCUCUCUCUAGAAUACGAACUGUUCUGUUCAUCCAGAGGCAAGAUACAAAAUAACUCCCCGACUGCUCAGCUGCAAUGCAUGUCAAUGUGGAAACAAAUGAAAAAUCCUACUCCAGUGGUCUGUAUGCCUUCUGAAGCUGCAUAUUCAUGAGAGAGACUCAAAUUACUGUGACCAAAUUGCAAAUCACUGGUAGAGAAACACUAACCCUGUAGGAAUUUCUUUGUUAAUCGUCCACUCAGUCACAUAUGUGCAAGAAUUCUUGAGAAGCAGAUUUGACUGAAGGGAAUGUGGAGG
This 467-nucleotide long non-coding RNA is filed under the name Capra hircus (goat). Its description in RNAcentral is "lncRNA (ENSCHIG00000003926.1)". The record is from RNAcentral. Lineage: Eukaryota; Metazoa; Chordata; Mammalia; Artiodactyla; Bovidae.